Molecule: long non-coding RNA, 317 nt
Organism: Saccostrea cuccullata (small rock oyster)
Lineage: Eukaryota; Metazoa; Mollusca; Bivalvia; Ostreida; Ostreidae
Exons: 3
Source: RefSeq, a predicted model, not a curated record
UUUUUGAUUAUUGAAAAGAAGAGGAGAAAAUGGAUUGAUUGAUACAGAUGCUCACUUCUAAGAUGUUUCCAGGUUCUUGUUAAAAGUGUUUUAUAUGGCACCAUUCAGCUACAAUUACUUUGCUGGUGGAACUGUGACAUCAAUCAACUGCUCAUGCCACUGCUAAUUGGCAGAGAAUUUCCUUUGGGACAAGCAAACUGUUUCAAACAUUUUACACCUGCAAGUAGAGUGUACUGGAAGGUUUUUCAGGAUCUCUUCAAACAUCAUAGGUACAACAGGUCACUGUGCUUGCUUGAUUAUAUAAGCUGGCAUAUUGU